AUUGAACGCUGGCGGCAUGCCUUACACAUGCAAGUCGAACGGCAGCACGGGUGCUUGCACCUGGUGGCGAGUGGCGAACGGGUGAGUAAUACAUCGGAACGUACCUUAUCGUGGGGGAUAACGCAGCGAAAGCUGUGCUAAUACCGCAUACGCCCUGAGGGGGAAAGCGGGGGAUCGAAAGACCUCGCGCGAUUAGAGCGGCCGAUGCCUGAUUAGCUUGUUGGUGGGGUAAAAGCCCACCAAGGCGACGAUCAGUAGCUGGUCUGAGAGGACGAUCAGCCACACUGGGACUGAGACACGGCCCAGACUCCUACGGGAGGCAGCAGUGGGGAAUUUUGGACAAUGGGGGGAACCCUGAUCCAGCAAUGCCGCGUGAGUGAAGAAGGCCUUCGGGUUGUAAAGCUCUUUUGUCAGGGAAGAAGCACCGGCUCUAACACAGUCCGGGAAUGACGGUACCUGAAGAAUAAGCACCGGCUAACUACGUGCCAGCAGCCGCCGUAA
Molecule: ribosomal RNA, 501 nt
Filed under: uncultured bacterium
Lineage: Bacteria
Description: partial 16S ribosomal RNA
Rfam family: Bacterial small subunit ribosomal RNA
Source: RNAcentral